GGAUUAGAUACCCUGGUAGUCCACACCGUAAACGAUGUCUACUAGCUGUGUGUGUAUUUGAUACGUGCGUAGCGCAGCCAACGCGAUAAGUAGACCGCCUGGGGAGUACGGCCGCAAGGUUAAAACUCAAAUGAAUUGACGGGGGCCCGCACAAGCGGUGGAGCAUGUGGUUUAAUUCGAUGCAACGCGAAGAACCUUACCUACACUUGACAUUCAGAGGACUUACUAGAGAUAGUUUGGUGCCUUCGGGAACUCUGGGACAGGUGCUGCAUGGCUGUCGUCAGCUCGUGCCG
Molecule: ribosomal RNA, 293 nt
Filed under: uncultured bacterium
Lineage: Bacteria
Description: partial 16S ribosomal RNA
Rfam family: Bacterial small subunit ribosomal RNA
Source: RNAcentral